RNAcentral lists this non-coding RNA (30 nucleotides) under Rattus norvegicus (Norway rat). The record is from RNAcentral. Lineage: Eukaryota; Metazoa; Chordata; Mammalia; Rodentia; Muridae.
UGCUUAGUAUUGGGAAACCUUUCUUGGCAU